CCUACGGGUGGCAGCAGUAGGGAAUCUUCCACAAUGGGCGAAAGCCUGAUGGAGCAACGCCGCGUGGGUGAAGAAGGUCUUCGGAUCGUAAAACCCUGUUGUGAGAGAAGAAAGUGCGUGAGAGUAACUGUUCACGUUUCGACGGUAUCUAACCAGAGAGCCCCGGCUAACUACGUGCCAGCAGCCGCGGUAAUACGUAGGUGGCAAGCGUUAUCCGGAUUUAUGGGGGGUAAAGGGUGCGCAGGCGGAAGCGGAAAGUCAGCGUUAAAAUUGCGGGGCUAACCCUGGCCGAGCCGUUGAAACUGUUCUUCUAGAGUGUGCGAGAAGUAUGCGGAAUGCGUGGUGUAGCGGUGAAAUGCAUAGAUAUUACGCAGAACACCGAUUGCGAAGGCAGAAUACUGGCGCCCAACUGACGCUCAUGCACGAAAGCGUGGGUAUCGAACAGGAUUAGAUACCCGGGUAGUC
RNAcentral lists this ribosomal RNA (465 nucleotides) under uncultured bacterium. RNAcentral's name for it is "partial 16S ribosomal RNA". It matches the Rfam family "Bacterial small subunit ribosomal RNA", at positions 338 to 795 of the family's 1533-position model. The record is from RNAcentral.